Molecule: ribosomal RNA, 837 nt
Filed under: uncultured bacterium
Lineage: Bacteria
Description: bacterial SSU rRNA
Rfam family: Bacterial small subunit ribosomal RNA
Source: RNAcentral
GGGCGUAAGAGCUCGUAGGCGGUUUGUCGCGUCUGCUGUGAAAACUGGAGGCUCAACCUCCAGCCUGCAGUGGGUACGGGCAGACUAGAGUGCGGUAGGGGAGAUUGGAAUUCCUGGUGUAGCGGUGGAAUGCGCAGAUAUCAGGAGGAACACCGAUGGCGAAGGCAGAUCUCUGGGCCGUAACUGACGCUGAGGAGCGAAAGCGUGGGGAGCGAACAGGAUUAGAUACCCUGGUAGUCCACGCCGUAAACGUUGGGAACUAGAUGUGGGGACCAUUCCACGGUCUCCGUGUCGCAGCUAACGCAUUAAGUUCCCCGCCUGGGGAGUACGGCCGCAAGGCUAAAACUCAAAGGAAUUGACGGGGGCCCGCACAAGCGGCGGAGCAUGCGGAUUAAUUCGAUGCAACGCGAAGAACCUUACCAAGGCUUGACAUAUACGAGAACGGGCCAGAAAUGGUCAACUCUUUGGACACUCGUAAACAGGUGGUGCAUGGUUGUCGUCAGCUCGUGUCGUGAGAUGUUGGGUUAAGUCCCGCAACGAGCGCAACCCUCGUUCUAUGUUGCCAGCACGUUAUGGUGGGAACUCAUAGGAGACUGCCGGGGUCAACUCGGAGGAAGGUGGGGAUGACGUCAAAUCAUCAUGCCCCUUAUGUCUUGGGGCUUCACGCAUGCUACAAUGGCCGGUACAAAGGGCUGCAAUACCGUAAGGUGGAGCGAAUCCCAAAAAGCCGGUCUCAGUUCGGAUUGAGGUCUGCAACUCGACCUCAUGAAGUCGGAGUCGCUAGUAUCGUGAAUCAGCAACGUCACGGUGAUACGUUCCCGGUCUGUACACACGCCG